RNAcentral lists this ribosomal RNA (484 nucleotides) under uncultured bacterium. Its description in RNAcentral is "partial 16S ribosomal RNA". It matches the Rfam family "Bacterial small subunit ribosomal RNA", at positions 30 to 507 of the family's 1533-position model. The record is from RNAcentral.
AUUGAACGCUGGCGGCAGGCCUAACACAUGCAAGUCGAGCGGAUGAAAGGAGCUUGCUCCUGGAUUCAGCGGCGGACGGGUGAGUAAUGCCUAGGAAUCUGCCUGGUAGUGGGGGAUAACGUCCGGAAACGGGCGCUAAUACCGCAUACGUCCUGAGGGAGAAAGUGGGGGAUCUUCGGACCUCACGCUAUCAGAUGAGCCUAGGUCGGAUUAGCUAGUUGGUGGGGUAAAGGCCUACCAAGGCGACGAUCCGUAACUGGUCUGAGAGGAUGAUCAGUCACACUGGAACUGAGACACGGUCCAGACUCCUACGGGAGGCAGCAGUGGGGAAUAUUGGACAAUGGGCGAAAGCCUGAUCCAGCCAUGCCGCGUGUGUGAAGAAGGUCCUCGGAUUGUAAAGCACUUUAAGUUGGGAGGAAGGGCAGUAAGUUAAUACCUUGCUGUUUUGACGUUACCAACAGAAUAAGCACCGGCUAACUUCGUG